This 423-nucleotide ribosomal RNA is filed under the name uncultured bacterium. Its description in RNAcentral is "bacterial SSU rRNA". It matches the Rfam family "Bacterial small subunit ribosomal RNA", at positions 358 to 772 of the family's 1533-position model. The record is from RNAcentral.
GGAAUUGUUCGCAAUGGGCGCAAGCCUGACGACGCAACGCCGCGUGGAGGAUGAAGAUCUUCGGGUCGUAAACUCCUGUCGAGCGGGAAGAACAGCUUUGGGGUGAAUAUCCCUGGAGCCUGACGGUACCGCUAAAGGAAGCCCCUGCUAACUCCGCGCCCGCAGCCGCGGUAAUACGGGGGGGGCAAGCGUUGUUCGGAAUUACUGGGCGUAAAGGGCUCGUAGGCGGCCAACUAAGUCAGACGUGAAAUCCCCAGGCUCAACCUGGGAACUGCGUCUGAUACUGGAUGGCUUGAAUUCGGGAGAGGGAUGCAGAAUUCCAGGUGUAGCGGUGAAAUGCGUAGAUAUCUGGAGGAAUACCGGUGGCGAAGGCGGCAUCCUGGACCGACAUUGACGCUGAGGAGCGAAAGCUAGGGGAGCAAA